RNAcentral lists this long non-coding RNA (1064 nucleotides) under Sus scrofa (pig). Lineage: Eukaryota; Metazoa; Chordata; Mammalia; Artiodactyla; Suidae. The record is from RNAcentral.
CUUGGAGGAGGUCCUUAGCUUGACGCCUUACCAUUGGCGGUCGGCAACCUCUCUAUCAGUUGAUUGGAGAGAGUGCAUGUCCAUCAAGGUCACGCUUGAGACUAGCAGAGGCGAAACCAGCGGGAAGACGACUUCGCCACCAAGGGCCGGCGGGCCUGCUGGGAUACUCCGGGUGAGUGGGACGCACUGGGCGGGGUUUCGCCGUUCCGAGGAUGUCGGGGAAGGGGGGGUCACUGCCAGAUGGAGGUUCCGGUUCCGGUGCAGUGUCUGGCUGGUUGCGUUGCUACGGCAGCGCGGUUGAGCGCUCUCGUCUGUGUGAUCGGGGCUUCGCUGACUUUCCGGCCUACUUAAGCCCCUGGGCCUGGGCCCAGGAAGGGUUUGUUGAACCGGGAGCUAAGAAGGGAAUUGGCUCGUUCGACAGACGUUUUCUGCGCAGCUGUGGCGUGCAAGGCACGGGGCCGGUGCGGGACCUCCAGAGAGACCUGUGCCCAAAGCUUGAGAAAUGAGAAGCAGUACGUAGAACAGUGCUUGGAACGUGGCGGGUGCACAUAUUGGUGGAAAGAACGAUUCCCGGGAGAGCGGGGCUCAGCGACAUCGCCAAGUGAUCUGUAGUCUUGGAGCCGCCCAGGGUUGGUGGUACCCUAGAGCACACCAGACUUGCAGAGAAAGCAGACUCAGAGGAAGCUGAGGCAUAACUGCUCAAGAGCCAGCAGUACGAUGUGCAAUUUUCCUCUGAUAGUUCCUGGGUACUGUUGCCACGGUGAUAAUGGCUGUGCCAGUGCCGUUAUCUAUCAACCGACAGUAAGAGCAGCUUUUUGCAGUCAGAUAUUGUUUAACAGAUGGAGUGGUUUCUGUUGGACACUAAGUACUGCUACAAGUUACUUUUUUUAAAAAUUAUUUUAGGAGUUUCUGUUGUGACUAAGCGGAAACGAAUCGCCCUAGCAUCCAUGACGACGCAGGUUUGAUCCCUGGCCUUGCUCAGUGGGCUAAGGAAUCCCGGUUGCCAUGAGAGCUGUGGUGUAGGUCGCAGACCAGCUCGGAUCUGGUGUUGCUGUGGCUGUGGU